GGGUACCGCUCUUAGAACCUCUGGCCGCGCUCGGUAUAGGCGCCUGGCUUGAG
RNAcentral lists this non-coding RNA (53 nucleotides) under unclassified sequences. The record is from RNAcentral.